UACGGGGGGGGCAAGCGUUGUUCGGAAUUACUGGGCGUAAAGGGUUCGUAGGUGGCUUGUUAAGUCAGACGUGAAAUCUCUCGGCUCAACCGGGGAACUGCGUCUGAGACUGAUGAGCUCGAGUGCAGGAGAGGAACGCGGAAUUCCAGGUGUAGCGGUGAAAUGCGUAGAUAUCUGGAGGAACACCGGUGGCGAAGGCGGCGUUCUGGACUGCAACUGACACUGAGGAACGAAAGCCAGGGGAGCAAACGGG
Molecule: ribosomal RNA, 253 nt
Filed under: uncultured bacterium
Lineage: Bacteria
Description: partial 16S ribosomal RNA
Rfam family: Bacterial small subunit ribosomal RNA
Source: RNAcentral